ACAAAAUGUAGCUUAACAUAAAGCACCUCGCUUACACCGAGUUUAUGUCUGUUUAAUUCAGAUCAUUUUGA
This 71-nucleotide transfer RNA is filed under the name Kaloula sp. Vietnam. RNAcentral describes it as "tRNA-Val". It matches the Rfam family "tRNA". From Rfam's summary of the family: Transfer RNA (tRNA) molecules are approximately 80 nucleotides in length. Their secondary structure includes four short double-helical elements and three loops (D, anti-codon, and T loops). The record is from RNAcentral. Lineage: Eukaryota; Metazoa; Chordata; Amphibia; Anura; Microhylidae.